CUGAUAGUUCUCUAGUGGGAGUUGUGUAAGUGAUCCUUUCACUUGAGAUUAUCAUGAUACCUUAUGUACAUGAAUCCAUAUUUUGAUUCACUUCUUAACUUGAUUCUCUGAUUGUUGCAUGGGGUGUUCUGGAUGUGGUGAAGUAUGCAUGGAGAUUGUGAGUGAUCAAUAAGGUAUCAAUCACUCCUAAUAACGGGAGCGAACAUCCUAUGUGAUCUCAUAGAUCGAUGAUUCUGGAAGUCUUUGACCAAAGUAG
Molecule: long non-coding RNA, 256 nt
Filed under: Elaeis guineensis (African oil palm)
Lineage: Eukaryota; Viridiplantae; Streptophyta; Magnoliopsida; Arecales; Arecaceae
Description: long non-coding RNA (EGUI_LNC049380)
Source: RNAcentral